This 131-nucleotide long non-coding RNA is filed under the name Polistes fuscatus (common paper wasp). RNAcentral describes it as "uncharacterized LOC122525674". Lineage: Eukaryota; Metazoa; Arthropoda; Insecta; Hymenoptera; Vespidae. The record is from RNAcentral.
GUGUGUUUUAAAAUGAUUAGACGAAGCAAUGCACAAAGUAUAAUGAAUCGAAAAAGAAAAUCUGUAAGCACAAACACAAAUCCAUGUGAUCAUAUGAUCACAAACGAUAAUAUUAUCGUCGACGAUGACGA